AACUAAAUCCAUAUGCCUAGCAAGUCUAAUCAAAUCCUAACCAACAUGUACUUCUCUGCAAGCUUACACAACAUUCUAGAUUCCAUACCUAAGUUCCACAACUAUAUCCAUCAGGCUUUCAUCGCAUGGUCUCAUCAAGCAAGCUAAUAUUCAAGAACCUUCUAGACUUAUUCAUGUA
Molecule: small RNA, 178 nt
Filed under: Arabidopsis thaliana (thale cress)
Lineage: Eukaryota; Viridiplantae; Streptophyta; Magnoliopsida; Brassicales; Brassicaceae
Description: ATSL032320
Source: RNAcentral